CGUAAUAGCUCACUGGUCUAGUGAUUUUGCGCGGAAAAUAUAACGGGGCUAAAAUGAGUACCGAAGCUGUAGGCUUGGCUUUGCCAAGCGGUAGGAGAGCGUUCUAUUUGCGUUGAAGCUAUAUCGGCAAGAAGUGGUGGAGCGAAUAGAAGUGAGCAUGCAGGCAUGAGUAGCGAUAAAAGGGGUGAGAAUCCCCUUCGCCGAAAACCCAAGGUUUCCUACGCGAUGCUCGUCAUCGUAGGGUUAGUCGGGUCCUAAGCAAAGUCCGAAAGGGGUAUGCGAUGGAAAAUAGGUUAAUAUUCCUAUACCAACAUUGAUGUGCGAUGGAAGGACGCUUAGAGCUAGGGGGGCUAGCGGAUGGUAGUGCUAGUCUAAGGUUGUAGGUGCUUACACAGGCAAAUCCGUGUAAGAACACACCGAGAGCUGAAAGGCUUUUUGAAGUCUUCGGAUGGAUAGAAGAACCCCUGAUGCUGUCGAGCCAAGAAAAGUUUCUAAGUUUAGUCAAUGUUGCCCGUACCGUAAACCGACACAGGUGGGUGGGAUGAGUAUUCUAAGGCGCGUGGAAGAACUCUCUUUAAGGAACUCUGCAAAAUAGCACCGUAUCUUCGGUAUAAGGUGUGGUUCGCUUUGUAUUAGGCUUUACGCCGAAAGCAAAGAAACUUACAACAAAGAGUCCCUCCCGACUGUUUACCAAAAACACAGCACUCUGCUAACUCGUAAGAGGAUGUAUAGGGUGUGACGCCUGCCCGGUGCUCGAAGGUUAAUUGAUGGGGUUAGCAUUAGCGAAGCUCUUGAUCGAAGCCCCAGUAAACGGCGGCCGUAACUAUAACGGUCCUAAGGUAGCGAAAUUCCUUGUCGGUUAAAUACCGACCUGCAUGAAUGGCGUAACGAGAUGGGAGCUGUCUCAAAGAGGGAUCCAGUGAAAUUGUAGUGGAGGUGAAAAUUCCUCCUACCCGCGGCAAGACGGAAAGACCCCGUGGACCUUUACUACAGCUUGACACUGCUGCUUGGAUAAGAAUGUGCAGGAUAGGUGGGAGGCUUUGAGUAUAUGGCGCUAGCUGUAUAUGAGCCAUCGUUGAGAUACCACUCUUUCUUAUUUGGGUAGCUAACUAGCUUGCGUUAUCCGCAAGUAGGACAAUGUCUGGUGGGUAGUUUGACUGGGGCGGUCGCCUCCCAAAUAAUAACGGAGGCUUACAAAGGUUGGCUCAUUGCGGUUGGAAAUCGCAAGUAGAGUAUAAAGGUAUAAGCCAGCUUAACUGCAAGACGGACAAGUCGAGCAGAGACGAAAGUCGGUCUUAGUGAUCCGGUGGUUCUGUGUGGAAGGGCCAUCGCUCAAAGGAUAAAAGGUACCCCGGGGAUAACAGGCUGAUCUCCCCCAAGAGCUCACAUCGACGGGGAGGUUUGGCACCUCGAUGUCGGCUCAUCGCAUCCUGGGGCUGGAGCAGGUCCCAAGGGUUUGGCUGUUCGCCAAUUAAAGCGGUACGCGAGCUGGGUUCAGAACGUCGUGAGACAGUUCGGUCCCUAUCUGCCGUGGGCGCAAGAAGAUUGAAGAGAUUUGACCCUAGUACGAGAGGACCGGGUUGAACAAACCACUGGUGUAGCUGUUGUCCUGCCAAGGGCAUCGCAGCGUAGCUAAGUUUGGAAAGGAUAAACGCUGAAAGCAUCUAAGCGUGAAGCCAACUCUAAGAUGAAUCUUCUCUAAGCUCUGUGCUAGACUAGCACUUUGAUAGGCUGGGUGUGUAAGUGGUGAAAGCCAUUUAGCUGACCAGCACUAAUAGAGCGUUUGGCUUAUUUUA
This 1796-nucleotide ribosomal RNA is filed under the name human gut metagenome. RNAcentral's name for it is "bacterial LSU rRNA". It matches the Rfam family "Bacterial large subunit ribosomal RNA", at positions 1133 to 2925 of the family's 2925-position model. The record is from RNAcentral.